CCAGGAUCUGGGACUCCGGAUGCGCUGGGAGGGAGAGCGUGCGAGUGCCCCCCGGCCAGCGCCCCGAGCUCACCUGGCAGGAGCAAGGCGCCGGGCGUCCUGCCGAGCCUCCAGAGCUCGCCGGCCGACGACUCCUACGAGGAAGCGGAGCCCGUCAGCCCGGGAGGACGCGUCGGCUCCGGUGAGCACCCCGACGCGCCCGGUCCCCGGCAGCCCCGUGCACCCGGUGCCCUGACGCUGCCCCUCCGCCCCGGCUAGCAGGCGGCGCCGACAGCGACAGCAGCCACUACGAGUCGUACGGGGAGGACGAGGAGUGCGUGAAGGACCGUGCCCACUACCUGCGGUGGCCGCCGGCCGCGGGCCCCGACGCCGACCCCCUGGCCCGCCCCGAGGCCCAGCUCUGCGGCUUCCUCUGGAGGAAGCGCUGGCUGGGCCAGUGGGCGAAGCAGCUCUUCAUCGUCAGGGAGCACGUGCUGCUGUGCUUCAAGUGCGCCAAGGACCUGCAGCCGCUGCUGGAGCUGGACCUGCGGGGCUGCCGCGUGGCCUACAAGGCCAAGCCCGGCAAGAAGAUGCAGCACGAGCUGAAGGUGACGGGGACGGCCGGCGAGGCCCUGGUCAUCGGCUUCCAGAGCCGGCAGCAGGCCGAGGACUGGAGGAAGGUUUGGAGGUGAUCGAGGAAGUCAGCAGCGAUUCCCCGAGCGGGCUGGCGGCCCACAGCGCCCCGGCGUCACCCGCCUCGCCACUCGGCAGGGU
Molecule: long non-coding RNA, 753 nt
Filed under: Apteryx rowi (Okarito brown kiwi)
Lineage: Eukaryota; Metazoa; Chordata; Aves; Apterygiformes; Apterygidae
Description: lncRNA (ENSARWG00000011687.1)
Source: RNAcentral